Molecule: ribosomal RNA, 253 nt
Filed under: uncultured bacterium
Lineage: Bacteria
Description: partial 16S ribosomal RNA
Rfam family: Bacterial small subunit ribosomal RNA
Source: RNAcentral
UAAGGAGGGUGCGAGCAGUAAUCGGAAUCACUGGGCGUAAAGCGCACGUAGGCGGUGUCGUAAGUCGGAUGUGAAAGCCCUCGGCUCAACCGGGGAACUGCAUUCGAUACUGCGAUGCUUGAGUGCCGGAGAGGGUGGCGGAAUUCCAGGUGUAGGAGUGAAAUCCGUAGAUAUCUGGAGGAACACCGGUGGCGAAGGCGGUCACCUGGCCGGCAACUGACGCUGAGGUGCGAAAGCGUGGGGAUCAAACAGG